RNAcentral lists this ribosomal RNA (751 nucleotides) under uncultured archaeon. RNAcentral describes it as "bacterial SSU rRNA". It matches the Rfam family "Archaeal small subunit ribosomal RNA", at positions 117 to 869 of the family's 1478-position model. The record is from RNAcentral.
UGGACGGGAAUAACCUCGGGAAACUGAGAAUAAUGCCCGAUAGAACAUUAUACCUGGAACGGUUUAUGUUUCAAAUGAUUUAUCGCCGUAGGAUGGGACUGCGGCCUAUCAGUUUGUUGGUGAGGUAAUGGCCCACCAAGGCUAUUACAGGUACGGGCUCUGAGAGGAGUAGCCCGGAGAUGGGUACUGAGACACGGACCCAGGCCCUAUGGGGCGCAGCAGGCGAGAAAACUUUGCAAUGUGCGAAAGCACGACAAGGUUAAUCCGAGUGGUUUCUGCUAAAGAAACCUUUUGCUAGUCCUAGAAACACUAGUGAAUAAGGGGUGGGCAAGUUCUGGUGUCAGCCGCCGCGGUAAAACCAGCACCUCAAGUGGUCAGGAUGAUUAUUGGGCCUAAAGCAUCCGUAGCUCGUUUUGUAAGUUUUCGGUUAAAUCCAUACGCUCAACGUAUGGGCUGCCGGGAAUACUGCAUAACUAGGAAGUGGGAGAGGUAGACGGUACUCGGUAGGAAGGGGUAAAAUCCUUUGAUCUAUUGAUGACCACCUGUGGCGAAGGCGGUCUACCAGAACACGUUCGACGGUGAGGGAUGAAAGCUGGGGGAGCAAACCGGAUUAGAUACCCGGGUAGUCCCAGCUGUAAACUAUGCAAACUCAGUGAUGCAUUGGCUUGUGGCCAAUGCAGUGCUGCAGGGAAGCCGUUAAGUUUGCCGCCUGGGAAGUACGUACGCAAGUAUGAAACUUAAAGGAAUUGGC